ACCACAAUCAAGUCAAAUACAAGCAAAACAAUAAGCAUACAUGGAGAUGAGCAAAUAUGCAAAACAAAGGAUCAAGAUUUACACUAUCACAACCUUGGGAAAAAGAGUCUUGCAGCCACCACAGGAAGGGGAGUAGAAAUCUACUAUAACAAGUUUAUCACCAGCAUUCAACAGAGAGUC
Molecule: long non-coding RNA, 180 nt
Organism: Hibiscus syriacus
Lineage: Eukaryota; Viridiplantae; Streptophyta; Magnoliopsida; Malvales; Malvaceae
Exons: 3
Source: RefSeq, a predicted model, not a curated record